RNAcentral lists this ribosomal RNA (440 nucleotides) under uncultured bacterium. RNAcentral describes it as "partial 16S ribosomal RNA". It matches the Rfam family "Bacterial small subunit ribosomal RNA", at positions 338 to 795 of the family's 1533-position model. The record is from RNAcentral.
CCUACGGGAGGCAGCAGUGGGGAAUAUUGCACAAUGGGGGAAACCCUGAUCCAGCGACGCCGCGUGAGUGAAGAAGUUAUUCGUUACGUAAAGCUCUUUUAUCAGGGAAGAAAAUGGCGGUACUUGAGUAAGAAUCCCCGUCUAACUACGUGCCAGCAGCCGCCGCAAUACGUAGGGGGCCAGCGUUAUCCGGAUUUACUGCGUGGAAAGGGGGCGUAGUAGGUGGGCCAAGUCUGGAGUGAAAUGCCGCAGCUGAACUUGGGAACUGCUUUGGAAACCGGCGGACUAGAGUGCGGGAGGGGAAAGCGGAAUGCGUAGUGUAGCGGUGAAAUGCGUAGAUAUUAGGAGGAACACCGGUGGCGAAGGCGGCUUACGGGACCGUAACUGACGUUGAGGCUCGAAAGCGUGGGGAGCAAACAGGAUUAGAUACCCCUGUAGUC